CAAUAGCGUAUAUUAAAGUUGUUGCAGUUAAAAAGCUCGUAGUUGAAUUUUGGGCCCGGAUGGGCGGUCCGCUUCACGGCGUGUACUGUCCGGCUGGGCCUUUCCUCUUGGUGAUCUGUCGUACUUGUGCGGCAGUGGAACCAGGACCUUUACUUUGAAGAAAUUAGAGUGUUCAAAGCAGGCUAGACGCCCGAAUAUAUUAGCAUGGAAUAAUAAAAUAGGACGUGCGGUUCUAUUUUGUUGGUUUUUGGAAUCGCCGUAAUGAUUAAUAGGGACGGUCGGGGCCAUUAGUACUCACAUGCUAGAGGUGAAAUUCUUGGAUUUUGUGAAGACUAACUUCUGCGAAAGCAUUUGCCAAGGACGUUUUCAUUAA
Molecule: ribosomal RNA, 373 nt
Filed under: uncultured eukaryote
Lineage: Eukaryota
Description: partial 18S ribosomal RNA
Rfam family: Eukaryotic small subunit ribosomal RNA
Source: RNAcentral